CCACCACCCGCCCCAUUCAGCUCCUGCCAGCGCCGUCUUGAAUUUUUUUUACCCCUUUGCAGACUUGUUUUUUUGCUUCGCCGCGGUGGACGCAGAGAGUAAAGAGCCGAGGUCAAGGACACGCAGCAGCAGCAGCUGUUUGGAUGCAGGAAUGGAGUCUCCAGCAGAACCACAGAGAAGCCCAGCCAAAUGUUCUCCUCCUCUCGUUUUACUUCAACUUCUCAUUCGUAACUUUUUAUAUGUGCAGCUCUUGUUUCUGUUGCGGAGUUGUGUGUGCAGGGCUGCACGUGUGCGCGAGCUCACCGCAACACCGAAUUGGUUUUAUUCCGGAAAACCUAAAGGACGCAGCUCAUUUUGUGCGUGCUUGCACCUGUUUGUUUGUUUGUGUUUGUUUGUUUGUUUGUUUGUUUGUUUGUUUGUUCACUGCAGGACGAGGGAGAUGCACCUUUACUGCACGUGCAUCUACGUCCCUGAUCAUUUAAGAGGUAAAAUUUUACAUCGAUUUUUGUAACAGAACAUUUAUAGCUGAUGCAUUAUCUGUAGAAUAUCUUAAUAGCGUUUAUAAUUAAUUAGAUUUAUUAUUAUUAUUAUUAUUAUUAUUAUUAUUAUUAUUAUUAUUAUUAUUAUUAUUAUUAUUAUUAAAAGACACAUUAGUCAUCUCCUUACAUGUAAGUUGUAAAAGCAUUUAUUUCAUUUGGACUUCAUCAUUUAUUAAAAAAAACAUCAGUAUUAAUAAAUAAAAUGUAUUGUUUAAAAUGUAUUUUGCACUUUCGUCCAGCUGGUGAUUAUGUUGUGUCUGUGCAGGGCCUUUAGCCCUCCUGUCUAAGGGACUGGUUCCCGUCCAGUUCCGCUGGAUAAAGGCAGCUCUGGAGUCGAUAAGAGAUCGGAGCUGCUGUUGUCUGCUGGGAGUGUGGCAUGGAACACGUUUAUCGAUUAAUCAUGUAUUCACACCAAUCGAUACAAAUGUAUUAUUAUUAUUAUUAUUAUUAUUAUUAUUAUUAUUAUUAAUUAUUUUUAGAACACUUUCAAACAUAUACCAGAACGUAGCUUCGUUGGCAUCUAAGAGAAGCAGGUGAAGAGUUCCUGUAGAAAUUACAUGAAUUUUGUUAAUUUUUAAUAAUUGAUGACUUAGUCCCUCGUGUAAAAUAUUAAAUAUAUUUCUUUCAGUGAAGGGAAAAUUCUCAAAAGCUCAAAUAUCUGCAUGCAGUGCGGAUGAAAGAAGCAGCGAGUCGAUAGACUAAUAAUAAAUUGGGUGAAUAAGUGGACAAAGGUUUUGUUUAUGCGUCUGAGGGAACGGACAUCAAUAAACCAUCGUCUCAAUCGACUUGUUCCAUUGAUGCUUCUAUUUUUCACCCAGAAGAUAAAAAACAAAGAGAAACAAAAGAAAUCCAGCAAAACUUUGCUCAAUCUUGCGGGAUUGUUCCAAUACAGUUCAGGCCUGCGCCUUUUUGGCUCGGACAAAUGAUUUCACACGGUGCAACUCAUUCUAAAGGAGCAAUUAGCUGCAAUUAUGCUUGCAAAGAAGGAGAAAAAGUGUUUCUGUCCGUGUCUGGCCGGCAGGGAAUUCUGCACCAUUUAAAUGGGAGUUUGUGCAGAAAUGUGGAGAGGCUAUGAUGGGAAAACUUCGUCUUCUCCUGUUGAAGUCUGGAAGGAGCGCUGCGCCACUGGCUCCGUCCCAGGAAGCGCCACGCGCCACCAGGGUCCCUCUCACUUUUAGUAAUCCUCUCUAAUUAGACUAAAACGGGAGCAGACGAGGCUCUAAACGGAAGUGAAAACAAACAAAAGAAUGUUUAAACCCAUUUUAUUUCAAUCCUCUGAAUAUGUUUUAAAUAAUUAGGGCAUUCUUAUUAUUAUUAUUGUUAUUAUUAUUAUUUGGGGUGAAGGAUCUCAUACUGUAAUGAAAUAUUGGUUGCAUAUGAUGCCUUUUGAGGCUGGUUGGAACAAUAAAAAAAUAUGGUAAUGUAAACAAACAAAUACAGACCCCCUCCCUGCAAAAAUAAAUAAAAACAUUAAAACAUUUGAUUAUUCCCUCGCCUCCUGUUGCGUGCUUCAUAUCCAAAAGCAACACAGACUGAUUGAAACAUGAUAAUCUCACAGAAAAUCACCUGGUCACAAGCCUCCAACAGUUUAUAUUAGUUUUCUGACAGCGACGUGAAAAGAUUGACUCCCUAAAACCAACAGGCGCGUGCGCUCAUGAGAGGUGCGCGCGUCUUGGUUGAGGCGGGGUUCCAGAAGUUUACGACAGAGUGGACUGCUGUGGUGAGACUGCGGUGACUGUACCUCCCACUCCCCCUCUCACACGCACACACACACACACACACACACACACACACACACACACACACACACACACACACACACACACACACACACACACACACACACACACACACACACACACACACACACACACACACACACACACACACACACACACUGUAACACAAGCUUUAUCCGCGGUGGAGAAGGGCUCCGGCUCUCUGGAUUAGGGCUCAUGUGCGCAGAUAAGAUCGUUAGAUAUGUGGAAACUGAGCCCCUCUCGCGGUGAGGCGCGCGGAUGAGAAGCCGCAGCGGGCAAUGUUUAUUUAUUUGUUUAGAUUUUUUAGGCGCGUGAGCUUUGUAAAUUAGCUAACUGUAAUUCUGGCUCUGAUGACGCCACGGGAGAUAAAACACAUCCAACAGCUCACGCCUCUGUCACUUGAAACAUGCAGACCAAAUGACGUAGUCAUAUGUUUUUCCACUGAUUGAUAAAUUCUCCAGUUUUCCCAGCAGCUAAUCAAUCACGCAAUCUAUUUUCUUUCUGUCCUCUCAUGAAGCCUGAGGAGAAGCUCGGUCCACAGAAGUCCUCUCUAAUGAAGCACACAGAAGCUGCCCUGCGCUGUUAACAUGCUGUCAGAAGCAGACGGGCGCUGCUCUGCAGCUACGGGAGCAGGCAAGUGAAGAGGUCAAAGGGCAAAUAUAGUGCUCAAGCGCGCUGCAGGACGCACGGUCUGAAGGCGAGUUUCCAACAAAGGGGCUUCACACCUGAGGAGAGCUUGCAAAGUGCAAGUUUAUUUAAUUUGUCACCAAACACACAGAACCAUGAAAAUAAAGAAAAAUAAAGAAACAUCUGUUCAUUUUUUUCAAAACAUACAUUUAUUUUAUUAAGUGGAUAAUAAAAAAUAUACUUUAAAAUAAUGAUUUAUUUAAUUUCUUCUCCGAGGACUAACAAAUAUAGCUUUUACGCAGUUAUUAUUAUUAGUAGUAAUAGUAGUCGUAGUAGUAGUAGUAGUAGUAGUAGUAGUAGAAGAAGUAGUAAUAGUAGUAGUACUCAGAAUAAUAUAUUUGUGAUCUUGUUUUCCCUUUUAACAUAAAUCAAUGAAUACAAAAUAAAUAAAAAUGAAUAAUCAGA
Non-coding RNA from Nothobranchius furzeri (turquoise killifish), 3391 nucleotides. The record is from RefSeq and is a predicted model, not a curated record. Lineage: Eukaryota; Metazoa; Chordata; Actinopteri; Cyprinodontiformes; Nothobranchiidae.